AAAUUGAAGAGUUUGAUCAUGGCUCAGAUUGAACGCUGGCGGCAGGCCUAACACAUGCAAGUCGAACGGUAGCACAGAGAGCUUGCUCUCGGGUGACGAGUGGCGGACGGGUGAGUAAUGUCUGGGAAACUGCCCGAUGGAGGGGGAUAACUACUGGAAACGGUAGCUAAUACCGCAUAACGUCGCAAGACCAAAGAGGGGGACCUUCGGGCCUCUUGCCAUCGGAUGUGCCCAGAUGGGAUUAGCUAGUAGGUGGGGUAACGGCUCACCUAGGCGACGAUCCCUAGCUGGUCUGA
RNAcentral lists this ribosomal RNA (296 nucleotides) under Citrobacter sp. EC_71. RNAcentral describes it as "partial 16S ribosomal RNA". It matches the Rfam family "Bacterial small subunit ribosomal RNA", at positions 1 to 295 of the family's 1533-position model. Lineage: Bacteria; Pseudomonadati; Pseudomonadota; Gammaproteobacteria; Enterobacterales; Enterobacteriaceae. The record is from RNAcentral.